Molecule: ribosomal RNA, 429 nt
Filed under: Verrucomicrobiota bacterium
Lineage: Bacteria; Pseudomonadati; Verrucomicrobiota
Description: Verrucomicrobia bacterium partial 16S ribosomal RNA
Rfam family: Bacterial small subunit ribosomal RNA
Source: RNAcentral
UAGGGAAUCUUCCGCAAUGGACGAAAGUCUGACGGAGCAACGCCGCGUGAGUGAAGAAGGAUUUCGGUUCGUAAAACUCUGUUGUUAGGGAAGAAAAAAUGUAUAGUAACUAUAUACAAAAGAGACGGUACCUAACCAGAAAGCCACGGCUAACUACGUGCCAGCAGCCGCGGUAAUACGUAGGUGGCAAGCGUUGUCCGGAAUUAUUGGGCGUAAAGCGCGCGCAGGUGGUUUAGAAAGUCUGAUGUGAAAGCCCACGGCUCAACCGUGGAGGGUCAUUGGAAACUAAUAAACUUGAGUGCAGGAGAGAAAAGUGGAAUUCCUAGUGUAGCGGUGAAAUGCGUAGAGAUUAGGAGGAACACCGGUGGCGAAAGCGUCUUUUUGGCCUGCAACUGACACUGAGGCGCGAAAGCGUGGGGAGCAAACAGG